This 498-nucleotide ribosomal RNA is filed under the name uncultured bacterium. Its description in RNAcentral is "partial 16S ribosomal RNA". It matches the Rfam family "Bacterial small subunit ribosomal RNA", at positions 30 to 523 of the family's 1533-position model. The record is from RNAcentral.
AUUGAACGCUGGCGGCAUGCCUUACACAUGCAAGUCGAACGGCAGCACGGGGCAACCUGGUGGCGGGAGGCGAACGGGUGAGUAAUGCAUCGGAACGUACCUUUCAGUGGGGGAUAACGUAGCGAAAGUUACGCUAAUACCGCAUAUUCUGUGAGCAGGAAAGCAGGGGAUCGCAAGACCUUGCGCUGAUUGAGCGGCCGAUGUCAGAUUAGCUAGUUGGUGAGGUAAAGGCUCACCAAGGCGACGAUCUGUAGCGGGUCUGAGAGGAUGAUCCGCCACACUGGAACUGAGACACGGUCCAGACUCCUACGGGAGGCAGCAGUGGGGAAUUUUGGACAAUGGGGGUAACCCUGAUCCAGCCAUGCCGCGUGAGUGAAGAAGGCCUUCGGGUUGUAAAGCUCUUUCGGCCGGGAAGAAAUCGCACGGGCUAAUACCCUGUGUGGAUGACGGUACCGGAAUAAGAAGCACCGGCUAACUACGUGCCAGCAGCCGCCGUAA